Molecule: long non-coding RNA, 293 nt
Filed under: Brassica napus (rape)
Lineage: Eukaryota; Viridiplantae; Streptophyta; Magnoliopsida; Brassicales; Brassicaceae
Description: long non-coding RNA (BNAP_LNC018423)
Source: RNAcentral
UUGUUAAUAGUAGGUAGAGAUGUCGAAGAUGUAGUCGACAAAGAAGAAUUAGUUUCAGUCAUGUUUCUUGAGAAACAAGAAACACGAUUUUAGAGAAAAAAAUCAGAUCUUUUGCUCUGAUACCAUGAAAUAACUUUAGAAUGUAAAAGUAUAGUUUGUGUUGUUGAUCUCUUUGGCAAUGUGCCUGUAUAUAUACAACGUAGAAGACCUAAAUAGAUAAGGACUUGAGUAACUACAUUGUUAUCUCCUCAUAAGUAGUAUUUAUCCUAUAUACUAUGAUAGUUAUCUUAUUA